This 254-nucleotide ribosomal RNA is filed under the name uncultured bacterium. RNAcentral's name for it is "partial 16S ribosomal RNA". It matches the Rfam family "Bacterial small subunit ribosomal RNA", at positions 524 to 776 of the family's 1533-position model. The record is from RNAcentral.
UACGUAGGGUGCGAGCGUUGUCCGGAAUUAUUGGGCGUAAAGAGCUCGUAGGCGGUCUGUCGCGUCGGUCGUGAAAACUUGGGGCUUAACCCUGAGCUUGCGGUCGAUACGGGCAUGACUGGAGUUCGGUAGGGGAGACUGGAAUUCCUGGUGUAGCGGUGAAAUGCGCAGAUAUCAGGAGGAACACCGGUGGCGAAGGCGGCCAACUGGACCAUUACUGACGCUGAGGCGCGAAAGCGUGGGGAGCAAACAGG